CCUGGCGGCCUUAGCGCGGUGGUCCCNCCUGACCCCAUGCCGAACUCAGAAGUGAAACGCCGUAGCGCCGAUGGUAGUGUGGGGUCUCCCCAUGCGAGAGUAGGGAACUGCCAGGC
Molecule: ribosomal RNA, 116 nt
Filed under: Escherichia coli O157:H7 str. 2011EL-2114
Lineage: Bacteria; Pseudomonadati; Pseudomonadota; Gammaproteobacteria; Enterobacterales; Enterobacteriaceae
Source: RNAcentral